Molecule: ribosomal RNA, 752 nt
Filed under: uncultured Pseudomonadota bacterium
Lineage: Bacteria; Pseudomonadati; Pseudomonadota
Description: bacterial SSU rRNA
Rfam family: Bacterial small subunit ribosomal RNA
Source: RNAcentral
UUGAACGCUGGCGGCAGGCUUAACACAUGCAAGUCGAGCGGAGAUGAGGUGCUUGCACCUUAUCUUAGCGGCGGACGGGUGAGUAAUGCUUAGGAAUCUGCCUAUUAGUGGGGGACAACAUUCCGAAAGGAAUGCUAAUACCGCAUACGUCCUACGGGAGAAAGCAGGGGAUCUUCGGACCUUGCGCUAAUAGAUGAGCCUAAGUCGGAUUAGCUAGUUGGUGGGGUAAAGGCCUACCAAGGCGACGAUCUGUAGCGGGUCUGAGAGGAUGAUCCGCCACACUGGGACUGAGACACGGCCCAGACUCCUACGGGAGGCAGCAGUGGGGAAUAUUGGACAAUGGGGGGAACCCUGAUCCAGCCAUGCCGCGUGUGUGAAGAAGGCCUUAUGGUUGUAAAGCACUUUAAGCGAGGAGGAGGCUACUGAGACUAAUACUCUUGGAUAGUGGACGUUACUCGCAGAAUAAGCACCGGCUAACUCUGUGCCAGCAGCCGCGGUAAUACAGAGGGUGCGAGCGUUAAUCGGAUUUACUGGGCGUAAAGCGUGCGUAGGCGGCUUUUUAAGUCGGAUGUGAAAUCCCCGAGCUUAACUUGGGAAUUGCAUUCGAUACUGGGAGGCUAGAGUAUGGGAGAGGAUGGUAGAAUUCCAGGUGUAGCGGUGAAAUGCGUAGAGAUCUGGAGGAAUACCGAUGGCGAAGGCAGCCAUCUGGCCUAAUACUGACGCUGAGGUACGAAAGCAUGGGAGCAAACAGG